UAAAUAGGAAGUUAAUGGCCAAUUGCAACAUAUUUAACUGGACGGAGUCAAAUGGUGAUCAAGAAGACUCAUGGCAUAGGAAUCUUCUCAUUGUGAGCUUUACUCCUGUAUGCUGCACAAUGCGACCUGCAUAGCCUCUGUGUCUCCAAUGAAGAUGACUGCUGCGUGGAAGGAUCUUGGUGUUGAUGAUAUUUUCUUUGCUAAUCCAAUACAUCUAUCUACUAGAAUUCCCACCACACAUGGGGCAUUUCUAAGCAUCUGUUACAAUCCAGAACCAUCAGGAAGUCGCAAAUGACUAAGAGGAUUUCAUGGACAAGUAAGGAAAAUGAAGAAUUAUGAAGAAAUGCUUGCUAAAUUUGUCAUGUUACCUUCUGGUUCACAAUGCGAACAAACAAACAAUGGCGAAAACCAAUUUCUGAAACUCUAUUUUGAUUGACUAACAUUUGCACUUCCAGCAUUAGCAUAAAAAUUUAUAGCCAUCACAGUUGAGUGCCUUCAAACGGGUAAGCAGAUGGUUUGCAUGCAUUGCAGAAGAGAGCUUCAAACUGGAAACAAGCAACUUCAGAAAGUUAUUCAGGAGUAAGCACCGUUAUCUUGAGAAUAAAAAAAAAUAAAAAAAAAAAGAGAAAAGGGAAGAAAAGAAAGGACACCUGGGUAGAAGAUAAUUGAGAAAGAGGGGAAGAAGAGAAAAUCGAGAGAAAGAGAGAGAAUUUGGGGAUAUGUAGGAUAUACUGAUUUUGUGGAUAUGUGAAAAGUGUUGCAAGUUGAAUAUUUACAAACCUAGGGGUGAGCCUAAA
Long non-coding RNA from Hevea brasiliensis (rubber tree), 797 nucleotides. RefSeq lists it as uncharacterized. The record is from RefSeq and is a predicted model, not a curated record. Lineage: Eukaryota; Viridiplantae; Streptophyta; Magnoliopsida; Malpighiales; Euphorbiaceae. The transcript is spliced from 2 exons.